AUUUUUUGAUGAUGGACGGUGUGUGCUGCAAUGCCCCAAAGGGAAAUUUGAAUUUAACAACCAAUGCCAUUUGUGCCAUCAUACCUGCAUGGAUUGCAGUGGAAGUGAACCAAACAAAUGUACUGCUUGUGGUACAGACAAGAGAGGGAAAAAACGUUUCCUGUACAUGGGAGAGUGCAGAGAGAGUUGUCCACAAGGCUACUACCAUUCAGAGAAGAACAGCGCCUGUCUGUCUUGCUUAGAGCAGUGUGAAAUGUGCCUCGACUCCACCCAGUGCAACAGAUGUUUCAAAGGAUAUUACCUAGCUGAUAACAGGUGUCUGAAGCACGAGUGUAGAGAAGGUGAAGUGGAGGACCCUAACUCUGAAGACUGCGUGCCAUGUGCAGAUGGAUGCCGGAGUUGUCAGCUGGAUGACCCGAGAAUAUGCAGAGCAUGCAUUCACAAUUACUAUAUGUAUAAGCAGCAUUGCUAUAAGAACUGCCCUGAGAACACCUACGAUGAUGAGAGUACUCUCCAGUGUAUAGAAUGUGAUGAAAACUGCAACAGCUGUGACCAGUACGAGUGCUACUGGUGUAAAAAAGGCUUUUAUCUCUUAGAUGGGAAAUGUGUGAGUGACUGCGGGGCUGGUUUCUACAGUGAUGAGGACUUUGCAGAAUGUGAAGAGUGCCAUAGGACCUGUGCAACAUGUGAAGGGCUCAACUUUGAUGACUGCACCAGCUGCAAAGAGAAUUUACAACUACUGCAUGGGAAGUGUGUGAAUCCAAAAAACAUGGUAGUGGAGGGGAAAUUCUGGAAUGACUCAAAAAAACAGUUCCAACAAUGUGAUGCUUCAUGUUGGACCUGUGAUAGAGCUGCCGAGGUGUGCACUUCAUGUCCAGAAGGGAGAUUUCUUCUUGCUGAGAGCUGUGUACGUACAUGCCCUCGAGGGACUUUUGGCGACCUGAAAAGUGGGAAGUGUGAGAAUUGCACAGAUGACUGUGAAAACUGCUCUGGCCCCAGGCACUGCCUGAAGUGCCAGUCUCACCCACAGCGGCCGCUCUACCUACAUGAAGGCAGAUGCUUUCAGGAGUGCCCCACGGGGUAUUUUGCUGAAACUGGUACCUGCAUCAAGUGUAGUGGAUCCUGCAAGACGUGUGAAGGAAAUGCCACAAAAUGUCAGUCCUGUGAAAGUCCUUUGCUUCUGGAGCAAUGGGAAUGUAAAAGCUCCUGUUCUGAGAAGCACUUUGCCACCAAUGGAAUCUGUAAACACUGCCCUGAGAUGUGUCAGGAAUGCAUUCAUGAAAGUGCAUGCAAAGGUACUGCAGGGAAUCAGCAUGGCAUGUAUCCACUUGGCUAAGAUAAGACCUCGCUGA
RNAcentral lists this long non-coding RNA (1352 nucleotides) under Chrysemys picta bellii (western painted turtle). RNAcentral describes it as "lncRNA (ENSCPBG00000019736.1)". Lineage: Eukaryota; Metazoa; Chordata; Testudines; Emydidae. The record is from RNAcentral.